CCUACGGGCGGCUGCAGUGGGGAAUAUUGGACAAUGGGGGCAACCCUGAUCCAGCCAUGCCGCGUGUGUGAAGAAGGCCCUCGGGUUGUAAAGCACUUUCAGUGAGGAAGAACGCCUGGUGGUUAAUACCCAUCAGGAAAGACAUCACUCACAGAAGAAGCACCGGCUAACUCCGUGCCAGCAGCCGCGGUAAUACGGAGGGUGCGAGCGUUAAUCGGAAUUACUGGGCGUAAAGCGCGCGUAGGUGGCUUGAUAAGCCGGUUGUGAAAGCCCCGGGCUCAACCUGGGAACGGCAUCCGGAACUGGCAAGCUAGAGUGCAGGAGAGGAAGGUAGAAUUCCCGGUGUAGCGGUGAAAUGCGUAGAGAUCGGGAGGAAUACCAGUGGCGAAGGCGGCCUUCUGGACUGACACUGACACUGAGGUGCGAAAGCGUGGGUAGCAAACAGGAUUAGAUACCCUGGUAGUC
This 465-nucleotide ribosomal RNA is filed under the name Vreelandella stevensii. RNAcentral's name for it is "partial 16S ribosomal RNA". It matches the Rfam family "Bacterial small subunit ribosomal RNA", at positions 338 to 795 of the family's 1533-position model. Lineage: Bacteria; Pseudomonadati; Pseudomonadota; Gammaproteobacteria; Oceanospirillales; Halomonadaceae. The record is from RNAcentral.